Molecule: long non-coding RNA, 290 nt
Filed under: Helianthus annuus (common sunflower)
Lineage: Eukaryota; Viridiplantae; Streptophyta; Magnoliopsida; Asterales; Asteraceae
Description: hypothetical non coding rna
Source: RNAcentral
UUUAAUUGAAUUGCCUCCCCAUUUAAGAAACCAUCAAUCUCCUGUUUGUAUUUGCUUUUGUUUUCUUCUAUUGAAUCACUGAAAAGCAGAUGAGUGGGGCUAGAUUGUGUUCGUUAUUAGGAACCAUCAAUCACUGAGGUUGAAGAGGGGUUAUCGCAUACAUGGUUAGCCUAGGGUUAGGAUGAAGAUGCAGUGAGAUGACGAUACAGGGUUGAAGGUAAUAUUUGGUUUUAGAUCUGAACUGCUGAAUGGGUGAAUUCGUAUUAUACAUGUAAUCUGUUUGAAUCUUG